RNAcentral lists this transfer RNA (71 nucleotides) under Ovis aries (sheep). It matches the Rfam family "tRNA". Rfam says of the family: Transfer RNA (tRNA) molecules are approximately 80 nucleotides in length. Their secondary structure includes four short double-helical elements and three loops (D, anti-codon, and T loops). The record is from Rfam by way of RNAcentral. Lineage: Eukaryota; Metazoa; Chordata; Mammalia; Artiodactyla; Bovidae.
UCCUAGGUGGCUCAGUGGUAAAGAAUCUGCUUGCAAUGCAGGACACCCAGGUUCGAUCCCUGGAUUGGGAA